RNAcentral lists this transfer RNA (76 nucleotides) under Clostridia bacterium. Its description in RNAcentral is "tRNA-Ala". It matches the Rfam family "tRNA". Rfam says of the family: Transfer RNA (tRNA) molecules are approximately 80 nucleotides in length. RNAcentral also lists the same sequence under 2 other names. The record is from RNAcentral. Lineage: Bacteria; Bacillati; Bacillota; Clostridia.
GGGGGAUUAGCUCAGCUGGGAGAGCGCUUGAAUGGCAUUCAAGAGGUCAGCGGUUCGAUCCCGCUAUUCUCCACCA